UACAUGCAAGUCGAGCGGUAGAGAGGUGCUUGCACCUCUUGAGAGCGGCGGACGGGUGAGUAAUACCUAGGAAUCUGCCUGGUAGUGGGGGAUAACGUUCGGAAACGGACGCUAAUACCGCAUACGUCCUACGGGAGAAAGCAGGGGACCUUCGGGCCUUGCGCUAUCAGAUGAGCCUAGGUCGGAUUAGCUAGUUGGUGAGGUAAUGGCUCACCAAGGCUACGAUCCGUAACUGGUCUGAGAGGAUGAUCAGUCACACUGGAACUGAGACACGGUCCAGACUCCUACGGGAGGCAGCAGUGGGGAAUAUUGGACAAUGGGCGAAAGCCUGAUCCAGCCAUGCCGCGUGUGUGAAGAAGGUCUUCGGAUUGUAAAGCACUUUAAGUUGGGAGGAAGGGCAUUAACCUAAUACGUUAGUGUUUUGACGUUACCGACAGAAUAAGCACCGGCUAACUCUGUGCCAGCAGCCGCGGUAAUACAGAGGGUGCAAGCGUUAAUCGGAAUUACUGGGCGUAAAGCGCGCGUAGGUGGUUUGUUAAGUUGAAUGUGAAAUCCCCGGGCUCAAC
This 566-nucleotide ribosomal RNA is filed under the name Pseudomonas sp. CF6(2010). RNAcentral's name for it is "bacterial SSU rRNA". It matches the Rfam family "Bacterial small subunit ribosomal RNA", at positions 52 to 613 of the family's 1533-position model. The record is from RNAcentral. Lineage: Bacteria; Pseudomonadati; Pseudomonadota; Gammaproteobacteria; Pseudomonadales; Pseudomonadaceae.